UCAUUGGAGAGUUUGAUCCUGGCUCAGGACGAACGCUGGCGGCGUGCUUAACACAUGCAAGUCGAACGGAAAGGCCCUGCUUUUGUGGGGUGCUCGAGUGGCGAACGGGUGAGUAACACGUGAGUAACCUGCCCUUGACUUUGGGAUAACUUCAGGAAACUGGGGCUAAUACCGGAUAGGAGCUCCUGCUGCAUGGUGGGGGUUGGAAAGUUUCGGCGGUUGGGGAUGGACUCGCGGCUUAUCAGCUUGUUGGUGGGGUAGUGGCUUACCAAGGCUUUGACGGGUAGCCGGCCUGAGAGGGUGACCGGCCACAUUGGGACUGAGAUACGGCCCAGACUCCUACGGGAGGCAGCAGUGGGGAAUAUUGCACAAUGGGCGGAAGCCUGAUGCAGCAACGCCGCGUGCGGGAUGACGGCCUUCGGGUUGUAAACCGCUUUCGCCUGUGACGAAGCGUGAGUGACGGUAAUGGGUAAAGAAGCACCGGCUAACUACGUGCCAGCAGCCGCGGUGAUACGUAGGGUGCGAGCGUUGUCCGGAUUUAUUGGGCGUAAAGGGCUCGUAGGUGGUUGAUCGCGUCGGAAGUGUAAUCUUGGGGCUUAACCCUGAGCGUGCUUUCGAUACGGGUUGACUUGAGGAAGGUAGGGGAGAAUGGAAUUCCUGGUGGAGCGGUGGAAUGCGCAGAUAUCAGGAGGAACACCAGUGGCGAAGGCGGUUCUCUGGGCCUUUCCUGACGCUGAGGAGCGAAAGCGUGGGGAGCGAACAGGCUUAGAUACCCUGGUAGUCCACGCUGUAAACGGUGGGUACUAGGUGUGGGGUCCAUUCCACGGGUUCCGUGCCGUAGCUAACGCUUUAAGUACCCCGCCUGGGGAGUACGGCCGCAAGGCUAAAACUCAAAGGAAUUGACGGGGCCCCGCACAAGCGGCGGAGCAUGCGGAUUAAUUCGAUGCAACGCGUAGAACCUUACCUGGGUUUGACAUGGAUCGGGAGUGCUCAGAGAUGGGUGUGCCUCUUUUGAGGUCGGUUCACAGGUGGUGCAUGGCUGUCGUCAGCUCGUGUCGUGAGAUGUUGGGUUAAGUCCCGCAACGAGCGCAACCCUUGUUCACUGUUGCCAGCACGUUAUGGUGGGGACUCAGUGGAGACCGCCGGGGUCAACUCGGAGGAAGGUGGGGAUGACGUCAAGUCAUCAUGCCCCUUAUGUCCAGGGCUUCACGCAUGCUACAAUGGCUGGUACAGAGAGUGGCGAGCCUGUGAGGGUGAGCGAAUCUCGGAAAGCCGGUCUCAGUUCGGAUUGGGGUCUGCAACUCGACCUCAUGAAGUCGGAGUCGCUAGUAAUCGCAGAUCAGCAACGCUGCGGUGAAUACGUUCCCGGGGCUUGUACACACCGCCCGUCAAGUCAUGAAAGUUGGUAACACCCGAAGCCGGUGGCCUAACCGUUGUGGGGGAGCCGUCGAAGGUGGGACUGGUGAUUAGGACUAAGUCGUAACAAGGUAGCCGUACCGGAAGGUGCGGCUGGAUCACCUCCUUU
RNAcentral lists this ribosomal RNA (1525 nucleotides) under Cutibacterium acnes. Its description in RNAcentral is "16S ribosomal RNA". It matches the Rfam family "Bacterial small subunit ribosomal RNA". The record is from RNAcentral. Lineage: Bacteria; Bacillati; Actinomycetota; Actinomycetes; Propionibacteriales; Propionibacteriaceae.